GUGCUCACUUCAGCAGCACAUAUACUAAAAAUUGGAAUGAUAAAGAGAAGAUUAGCAUGGCUCCUACACAA
Molecule: small nuclear RNA, 71 nt
Filed under: Jaculus jaculus (lesser Egyptian jerboa)
Lineage: Eukaryota; Metazoa; Chordata; Mammalia; Rodentia; Dipodidae
Source: RNAcentral